RNAcentral lists this ribosomal RNA (657 nucleotides) under Triticum aestivum (bread wheat). RNAcentral describes it as "partial small subunit ribosomal RNA". The record is from RNAcentral. Lineage: Eukaryota; Viridiplantae; Streptophyta; Magnoliopsida; Poales; Poaceae.
AUGGGGCUGUGCUCGUCGGUGCUGCGGCGGAGGGCGAGGAACCGGCAUCCGGAGCCGAGGCGCGGCACGCCGACGGCGAUGUACGUCGUCAGAGGCGAGGGCGACCGCCGACCGGAGCCGCUGGUGCUCCGGGUGCAGGACUCCGGCCGAACGCAGCUCCAGAAACCGCCUGCCAAUGUGGCGCCCAGAAGGCACGAGAGAUGCAGCCGGCAGCAAGGCGCGGACGCGCCGGACAGGAUGGUCUCCUGCGCUCAUGCUCCUCGGCUGGGUACUACCAGAAGCGCCGCAGGGGUCGAGCCAAGUGCACAGCCGUCCACGCUCAAGACGACGACGGCGACGGCCGGCCGAGGGAACCCGAUGACGCAGGGGCGGUACGGGACGCCGUCGACGGCACCACCGACGACAACGGCCUCGCCGCUCAUAGUGCCAGGGACGCCGGCGUCAGCGGCGAUGACGCCGGGGCGGCCGGUGUGGCGGAGGAGGAUACUGAUGGGGAUGCGGUGCGAGCUGCCGCGCUUCAGCGGCCUCCUGCUCUACGACGAGCACGGCCGGCCGGUGCACAUCGCCACCCCGGGCCGAAGGAACCACCGCCAGGGGAAGAAGAAGGCUGCCAGUGCCAGGACACCUUCCACCACAACUCUCAGGGACCUCCAAUAG